This 86-nucleotide transfer RNA is filed under the name Cyanobacteria bacterium UBA8803. Its description in RNAcentral is "tRNA-Ser". It matches the Rfam family "tRNA". From Rfam's summary of the family: Transfer RNA (tRNA) molecules are approximately 80 nucleotides in length. Lineage: Bacteria; Bacillati; Cyanobacteriota. RNAcentral also lists the same sequence under 1 other name. The record is from RNAcentral.
GGAGAGGUGGCCGAGUGGCUUAAGGCGCAGUCCUGGAACGACUGAUCAAGUUUAACUUGACGAGGGUUCAAAUCCCUCCCUUUCCG